Molecule: non-coding RNA, 257 nt
Filed under: Clostridium magnum
Lineage: Bacteria; Bacillati; Bacillota; Clostridia; Eubacteriales; Clostridiaceae
Description: T-box sequence
Rfam family: T-box leader
About the family: Uncharged tRNA acts as the effector for transcription antitermination of genes in the T-box leader family. T-boxes are found upstream of many aminoacyl-tRNA synthetase genes and some amino acid biosynthetic genes usually in Gram-positive bacteria.
Source: RNAcentral
UAAAAUGCUGUGAAGGAAAGAGUAGUAAAUAAAAGUGCCUAUAGAGAGUCGGAGUAGGUGAAAGCCGAUGGCAGGAUAGUUUACGAACAUGGCUCCAGAGCAGGUUAUCUGAAAAUAGAGUAGGAUAACACGGCAGCAGCCGUUAUACUGCAUAGUAAUAAAAAUUUUAAUUUGCUUUUAAAUUUGAGUUACUUAUUGAGAUCUUUAUUGUGAAAUAAGGAUGAAAUAGAGUGGUAAAGCGCAAUUUCGCCUCUAUA